This 982-nucleotide ribosomal RNA is filed under the name marine metagenome. Its description in RNAcentral is "bacterial SSU rRNA". It matches the Rfam family "Bacterial small subunit ribosomal RNA", at positions 82 to 1081 of the family's 1533-position model. The record is from RNAcentral.
AGAAAAUGACUGAGCGGCGAACGGGUGAGUAACGCGUGAGCAACCUACCUUAGUUACUGGGAUAGCCCGAGGAAACUCGGAUUAAUACCGGAUAUUCUUAUUUAAUCACAUGAUUUUUUAAGGAAAGGUCAGCCGAACUAAGAUGGGCUCGCGUUCUAUCAGCUAGUUGGUGAGGUAAAAGCUCACCAAGGCAACGACGGAUAGCUGGUCUGAGAGGACGAUCAGCCACACUGGGACUGAGACACGGCCCAGACUCCUACGGGAGGCUGCAGCAGGGAAUAUUGCGCAAUGAGCGAAAGCUUGACGCAGCGACACCGCGUGUGGGAUGACGGAUCUAGGUUUGUAAACCACUUUCAGGAGGGAAGAAAAUGACGGUACCUCCACAAGAAGCCCCGGCCAACUACGUGCCAGCAGCCGCGGUAAUACGUAGGGGGCGAGCGUUGUCCGGAUUUAUUGGGCGUAAAGAGCUCGUAGGCGGUUCAACAAGUCGGUCGUAAAAGUUCAGGGCUCAACCCUGAAAUGUCGAUCGAUACUGUUGUGACUAGGAUACGGUAGAGGUGAGUGGAAUUCCGAGUGUAGCGGUGAAAUGCGUAGAUAUUCGGAGGAACACCAAUUGCGAAGGCAGCUCACUGGGCCGCUAUCGACGCUGAGGAGCGAAAGCUAGGGGAGCAAACAGGAUUAGAUACCCUGGUAGUCCUAGCUGUAAACGAUGGAUACUAGACGUAGGAACUGGAUUGACGGUUUCUGUGUCGUAGCUAACGCGUUAAGUAUCCCGCCUGGGGAGUACGGUCGCAAGACUAAAACUCAAAGGAAUUGACGGGACCCCGCACAAGCGGCGGAGCAUGCGGCUUAAUUCGAUGAUACCCGUAGAACCUUACCUGGACUUGACAUAUAGGGUCUAGCUAUAGAGAUAUAGUGUGCAUUAGCGCCCUAUACAGGUGGUGCAUGGCUGUCGUCAGCUCGUGUCGUGAGAUGUUGGGUU